Long non-coding RNA from Neodiprion fabricii, 2703 nucleotides. RefSeq lists it as uncharacterized. The transcript has 5 exons. The record is from RefSeq and is a predicted model, not a curated record. Lineage: Eukaryota; Metazoa; Arthropoda; Insecta; Hymenoptera; Diprionidae.
GGCGUUGUUGUGUCGUCAACAGACGCUUCGCAGUUGGUGUACCGAGGACGCGAGCGCGUUAACAACAAAGCUGUGUGCGUGUGUGAGUGUGUGUGUGUGGGGCGUAAGCUCGCUGCUAGCUCGUACACUGCAGUUUCACGGAAACAAACAACCGGGUAAAGGACGCUUGGCACUUCCGUUAUUGGAUUCAAUUAGCCCUCUGUGAGGUAGACACAACGGACGCAGACUUGCCUGGUGGCAUUGUUCGCAUCGCGCGACUGUGAAAUGUUCUUCCAAGUUUCGACCGUGUCAUCGCGGCGUCAAAGCAAUAUGGACACACCGCGUACGUGCAAAUUGCAGCGUCAUGCAGCUGAAUAAUGUUAUUCCGAGCUUUUCAACUUGUGCCAGAGGUAAUUAUUGUGGUGAAAAGUUUUGUGCACGCUGUGUUUCGUGACGAGUUUCUUCCUCGUUUGAGGCGUCGCGUCGUGGCAGCGAUCAGUGUCGUCCAGAAGCGGUAGGUGAUAUCUCGUCACUUACGGGGGUCAAGAGGAGGUGCGGGCGGAUGCUGUAAGGUGUUUUCCGUGCCCCAGGGUGGCUGGAGGUGACUGCCGGACAAGUAAGGUAGUUCGAUGCAGGAACUUAGAAGUCCGUAAGUAGCCGCAUUUGCAAAGCUGAAUAACGUGCGGUUUAAAUUCAAUGAAGCGAAGAUAUAAUACCUAACGGAUAAAUCUUCUGACAACAAGUAACCGCUCUUCCGGUCGGGUGAUGUGACACGAAAUACUUUCAUAAACACUUGUCGCAAGAGCUCCGGCGUUGGCGGUCACGUAAAUAAACAUGGCUGCCGGCCGACGCUAGAUUCUGGCAGAGCGUCGAGUUAGUUCGCGCGGAUCGGUGCCUCGUGUUCUUCGAUUAUUACGGAGAAACGACGUCGACUACAACGUGAUAAGUUCCGAAAAUGAAGUUGAAGUCGAAGUUGUUGUGUCAGUGCAGUGAAAGGUGAAAAGACAAGUGUGUUACGUGAGAGUUGAGUGAAUUCAAGAAACGUUGUCAGAAAUUGCGUGCCAGGAUGCUGGUGCUGUUCCCUUUCGCUGCAAUUGAUACAGAAAUACCUCCUUCGUCCAAGGGAACGAGACUAAAAUGUACGGCAUUUUGAUCGCGGAGAUGCAAAGACGUCGACAAGAGAGAGUCUGUAAGCAUCGAUUGGAUGAAUCGGGCAUUGAACUACGACUGCAGUUCUUCGUCAACUGUAUCUGCUCACCCGGUAUGAGAAAUCUAGGCUGUCGGGAUGAGCGGAUAUUCAAUUAGCCAGCACUCCGUUUGAAGAAGACUACAACGGAAAAGCCCCGAUGAUUCAAACCCGCAUCCUCAAUCUCCCGGAGCAGCUUGAAGCAUGGUAAAGGAAUCCCCGCCAGCGGGGUUAAAGAAUCGAAUAUCCACUUCAUCCCUUGAUUCAUCUGGUGCAAAGCGGAAAGUCGAAUGAUUCGAUUCCCAUUUGAAACACGAUUCGGCCCAGUUUCCGGCCAUGGAACCGGCGUAAUUAAAUUUGUAUUACAGAGACAAAAAUGAAUGCUAGAUUAAUGCGUCUACUCUUGUUAUUCUACUUACGCUGAUUUUCACCCGCAUGUUUAUAAUCUAAAAGCCACCAAAAGCAAUAUCAUUUGCUUACGGUUUUUAGACGUGCAAUAAUUCUGCAGUUCCGACAAUUAAGUCGCCGCUGCAAUGCCGGAACGCUUACAAAGAUUGCAGGACGUUCUACGUGAGUGCUUGUAUCAGUUUUACUCGCACACUAAUUCUCUUACCGUUAAAACGGUCUGAAAUCUCAUUACAUCAAAAGUAAUGACAGCUUGAAUUUAUAUAACCUAACAGCUGCUGCUCCACUUUGGUAUCAGGGUACCUACGAGACAUAACAGCCACGGCGUUUUACGUAUUCAAGCUGUAAAAGUGUUCCUCGUAUAAUUUUUUGAGAAAAAAUUAACUUUUUAAAGUGAUUCUUCCUUACGGGUAAAUUCUGCAAAUCAUACCAAGGGUUAAAGCUUGUGUGAGUAAACUGAUCCUCAUCACUAAGGAACCCUAAAAAUUACACCUUUUGAACAUUCGAAUUAACGCUUUUCUUGCAACUGCCCAUAAUUUCCAUUCCGAAAACUAUCCCCCAAGUGACCGCAGCGGAUGCUUGUUCUUUUUUCGGAAGUAACCCUUGGGUCUAGUUGAUGUCUUGCACGAACAUUUCCAAAAUAGUUAGGGUAACUGUUGUGCCAGCUCUGUAUGCCUGUGAAUUACGGCUUAAGAACUACCGAAUUACGUUCACACUGCAAAAACCUCGUGUCUAGAGAUGGUAUCACGUAACUGUAAACCGGUUUUUAUCUUAACAUACAUUUUAUUGCUCAAAAUUUUUUGAUGAGAAUUCAAUAGUAAGACUCUAAAAAAGCUGUACACCCAACGCAUGUAGUCUUCAUGAAAAACUACGAGUGUAUAGGAAAAUCAAAUCCAAACAGGUUCCUUUGUUUAUUCAGCAACGAAACAUCGGAGCCGAACAACCCUCAACCGCUAAUCAAGUAUACACGAAGCCAGGUAUAUAUAUAUAUACACCGCUCAAAAAGGUAAACUACUACUUUCAUCUAUCAUCGAAUUAAUAAUCUGCUGCAUGUACAAAUACAACGAGUGAUUCACACGGAAUCGGCUAUAUAUAAGAACAAAAGCUUCUAAUACUAACACCUGCGCAGGUAC